AAGGUUCCUAUAUAAAGAUAAAACUAGCUAUACCAAGUGCUUCAAGGAUAAUGUGACUGGCUUCAACUGCGUAGGCGACGAUCAUUGAUCUACUUCGGCAGCACUAUAAGAAAAGGGAAAGGAAAAAGGGUAAGCAUGGGAGCUUCGUAAGUACAUAUAUGUAAAUAAGUGUAAUUAGAAACACAUUCGUCAAAUAAUGGUUUAUCAUACUUAAGUGAUAUAUCAUUUUAACCUCACUAUUUUGCUCUUCCUUCUUUU
Molecule: long non-coding RNA, 258 nt
Filed under: Gossypium barbadense (sea-island cotton)
Lineage: Eukaryota; Viridiplantae; Streptophyta; Magnoliopsida; Malvales; Malvaceae
Description: long non-coding RNA (GBAR_LNC009406)
Source: RNAcentral